RNAcentral lists this ribosomal RNA (248 nucleotides) under uncultured bacterium. RNAcentral's name for it is "partial 16S ribosomal RNA". It matches the Rfam family "Bacterial small subunit ribosomal RNA", at positions 523 to 769 of the family's 1533-position model. The record is from RNAcentral.
AUACGUAGGGUGGCAAGCGUUGUCCGGAUUUACUGGGUGUAAAGGGCGAGUAGGCGGGACUGCAAGUCAGGUGUGAAAUGCGGAGGCUCAACCUCCGACUUGCAUUUGAAACUGUGGUUCUUGAGUGAUGGAGAGGCAGGUGGAAUUCCCGGUGUAGCGGUGGAAUGCGUAGAUAUCGGGAGGAACACCAGUGGCGAAGGCGGCCUGCUGGACAUUAACUGACGCUGAGGAGCGAAAGCGUGGGGAGC